ACUAACAAGGAUUCCCCUAGUAACUGCGAGUGAAGCGGGAAAAGCUCAAAUUUAAAAUCUGGCGGUCUUUGGCCGUCCGAGUUGUAAUCUAGAGAAGUAAUGCCCGUGCUGGACCGUGUAUAAGUCUCCUGGGAUGGGGCGUCAUAGAGGGUGAGAAUCCCGUCUUUGACACGGACUACCAGUGCAUUGUGGUAUGCUCUCAAAGAGUCGAGUUGUUUGGGAAUGCAGCUCAAAAUGGGUGGUAAAUUCCAUCUAAAGCUAAAUAUUGGCGAGAGACCGAUAGCGAACAAGUACCGUGAGGGAAAGAUGAAAAGAACUUUGGAAAGAGAGUUAAACAGUACGUGAAAUUGCUGAAAGGGAAACGCUUGAAGUCAGUCGCGUUGGCCAGGGAUCAGCCUUGCUUUUGCAUGGUGUACUUUCUGGUUGACGGGUCAGCAUCAAUUUUGACCACUGGAAAAGGUUCAAGGGAAUGUGGCAGCUUCGGCUGUGUUAUAGCCCCUGUUCACAUACAGUGGUUGGGAUUGAGGAACUCAGCACGCCGCAAGGCCGGGUUUCGACCACGUUCGUGCUUAGGAUGCUGGCAUAAUGGCUUUAAGCGACCCGUCUUGAAACACGGACCAAGGAGUCUAACAUGCCUGCGAGUAUUUGGGUGGAAAACCCAAGUGCGCAAUGAAAGUGAAAGUUGAGAUCCCUGUCGCGGGGAGCAUCGACGCCCGGACCAGAACUUUUGGGACGGAUCCGCGGUGGAGCAUGUAUGUUGGGACCCGAAAGAUGGUGAACUAUGCCUGAAUAGGGUGAAGCCAGAGGAAACUCUGGUGGAGGCUCGUAGCGAUUCUGACGUGCAAAUCGAUCGUCAAAUUUGGGUAUAGGGGC
Molecule: ribosomal RNA, 873 nt
Filed under: Agaricus nanofulvens
Lineage: Eukaryota; Fungi; Basidiomycota; Agaricomycetes; Agaricales; Agaricaceae
Description: Agaricus sp. BOS-2020f partial large subunit ribosomal RNA
Rfam family: Eukaryotic large subunit ribosomal RNA
Source: RNAcentral